AUUGAACGCUGGCGGCAGGCUUAACACAUGCAAGUCGAGCGGGGGAAGGUAGCUUGCUACCGGACCUAGCGGCGGACGGGUGAGUAAUGCUUAGGAAUCUGCCUAUUAGUAGGGGACAACAUCUCGAAAGGGAUGCUAAUACCGCAUACGUCCUACGAGAGAAAGCAGGGGAUCUUCGGACCUUGCGCUAAUAGAUGAGCCUAAGUCGGAUUAGCUAGUUGGUGGGGGAAAGGCCUACCAAGGCGACGAGCUGAAGCGGGUCUGAGAGGAUGAUCCGCCACACUGGGACUGAGACACGGCCCAGACUCCUACGGGAGGCAGCAGUGGGGAAUAUUGGACAAUGGGGGGAACCCUGAUCCAGCCAUGCCGCGUGUGUGAAGAAGGCCUUAUGGUUGUAGAGCACUUUAAGCGAGGAGGAGGCUACUUUAGUUAAUACCUAGAGAUAGUGGACGUUACUCGCAGAAUAAGCACCGGCUAACUCUGUGCCAGCAGCCGCCGUAA
RNAcentral lists this ribosomal RNA (501 nucleotides) under uncultured bacterium. RNAcentral's name for it is "partial 16S ribosomal RNA". It matches the Rfam family "Bacterial small subunit ribosomal RNA", at positions 30 to 523 of the family's 1533-position model. The record is from RNAcentral.